GACGAACGCUGGCGGCGUGCUUAACACAUGCAAGUCGAACGGACAGGCCCUGCUUUUGUGGUGUGCUCGAGUGGCGAACGGGUGAGUAACACGUGAGUAACCUGCCCUUGACUUUGGGAUAACUUCAGGAAACUGGGGCUAUUACCGGAUAGGAGCUCCUGCUGCAUGGUGGGGGUUGGAAAGUUUCGGCGGUUGGGGCUGGAAUCGCGGCGUAUCAGCUUGUUGGUAAGGUAGUGGCUUACCAAGGCUGUGAUGGAUAGCCGGCCUGUGAGGGUGAUCGGCGACACUGGAAGUGAGCCGCGGACAAGAGUACUACGGGAGGCAGCAGUAGGGAAUGUUCCGCAAUGGGCGAAAGCCUGACGGAGCGACGCCACGUGAGUGAUGAAGGUCUUCGGAUCGGAAAGCUGUCUUAUUAGUGAAGAACAUAUGUGUCCGUAAAUGAGCAGAGCUUGACGGUAACUAAUAAGAAAGCCACGGCUAACUACGUG
This 488-nucleotide ribosomal RNA is filed under the name uncultured bacterium. RNAcentral describes it as "partial 16S ribosomal RNA". It matches the Rfam family "Bacterial small subunit ribosomal RNA", at positions 28 to 507 of the family's 1533-position model. The record is from RNAcentral.